ACAUUCGAACUUCGUGGCUCAAGUACACAUCCUUCACUCACUCAAUGCAAAAUUUAUAAAGAGCACACUCACCCUCCUAAGGAGCAUGCUCUUAGCUUUAUAGCUUUAAAAAAAUCUUAUUUUUUGUGAAUGUCCACAGAAAAUCCGGCAGUACAUGACCUUUGACUCAAUCACGCGCUUUACCCCAUCCUUCAUGUGCAUACUUAUAUAUUUACUUGCUGUAAGGCCUUCUGAAACGCGCUGAUAAACAUGAGGAAUCAGGAACCAAAUUCAGAGGACAGUGACGUCACCACAUCAUCGCUUUUCAUCGCUGCGUUUAUAAACCACUAGCUCCAUGGAUACGAGCAAAGAGGAUAACCCGUCCUGUUUGAUACCAGUCACACCGCAUGAACAACAACUGAGAUUCUAAGACAGACGUCGACAGGAGUUAUUUCAUGUGAUCAGCUACAUAAAUAUAUAAGCCACAAUGGAGUUUUGUCCCAGUCUUCUGGUUUGCCUGCUCUCCAUGUCCUGUUUAGUUUCUUCUGUUCGUUAUGGAGAUUUUUCUUCCGCCUUCGUCGCCCCAAAGUUGCCUCCUUACCCUUCCUUCGGCCUCUCGCCAAGUUUGGGAGGAUACGGUUCAGGCCCAGCCUCAGGACCUUCCUACAACAGACUGUUUCCUGGUUACAACAUCGCGUCUGGCAACAACUUUGGACUGCAGGGCAGCGGAGUCUACACAAGCGACUACAAGACCGGUGCUGGCUUGAGUCCGACAUUCUCUGGAGUGCCACCCAGUCGGAGCCAACAGUACCCUGGCUUCAAUGGAGGAUCCUCCCCCCUGCCUAGCGGUUCUGGCUUUAACAGUUACUCUGGUAACCUUCCACGUGUCGGCAUGUCAGCAAUACGUGCUCAGCCCUAUGGCGCCUCUCCUCCCAUCGGUUACCAGACUGGUUCCUUCGGGGGGUACGACGAGCCAAGUCACGUGGGCAAGAAGCCGUUCACACUUUAUGGCCAGUGAUUUCACCAAGUAUACGUGCACUGUCUUGUUCCAGCAACGUGUUUCCAGAACAUAAUCUUCACUUCUUUACUUCAGUAAAAAUAUAAUUUUAUCAACCUC
Molecule: long non-coding RNA, 1096 nt
Organism: Pomacea canaliculata
Lineage: Eukaryota; Metazoa; Mollusca; Gastropoda; Architaenioglossa; Ampullariidae
Exons: 3
Source: RefSeq, a predicted model, not a curated record